Molecule: transfer RNA, 74 nt
Filed under: Streptomyces violaceus subsp. violarus
Lineage: Bacteria; Bacillati; Actinomycetota; Actinomycetes; Kitasatosporales; Streptomycetaceae
Also listed under: 1 other name
Description: Streptomyces violarus tRNA-Gly(gcc)
Source: RNAcentral
AAGCCGAGGGUGAUCGCCUUGCUGCCGCUGCCGCUGCCGGCGGCGGCGGCAGAGGUGCCGUCCUCCUUGGCGCA